RNAcentral lists this ribosomal RNA (1456 nucleotides) under metagenome. Its description in RNAcentral is "bacterial SSU rRNA". It matches the Rfam family "Bacterial small subunit ribosomal RNA". The record is from RNAcentral.
AGAGUUUGAUCCUGGCUCAGGAUGAACGCUGGCGGCGUGCUUAAUACAUGCAAGUCGAACGGAUGUUGUAGCAAUACGAUGUUAGUGGCGAACGGGUGAGUAACGCGUUGGUGACCUGCCCCGAAGUGAGGGAUAACAGCUCGAAAGGGCUGCUAAUACCGCAUGAGAUCCACCUAGUUAGAGAGGGUGGAUGAAAGGAGAAAUCCGCUUUGGGAGGGGCCUGCGUCCCAUCAGCUAGUUGGUGAGGUAAAAGCUCACCAAGGCGACGACGGGUAGGGGGCCUGAGAGGGUGACCCCCACACUGGUACUGAAACACGGGCCAGACACCUACGGGUGGCAGCAGUAGGGAAUAUUGCACAAUGGGCGAAAGCCUGAUGCAGCAACGCCGCGUGCGCGAUGAAGGCCUUCGGGUUGUAAAGCGCUUUUCGGGGAGACGAGGAAGGACGGUAUCUCCGGAAUAAGGAUCGGCUAACUACGUGCCAGCAGCCGCGGUAAAACGUAGGAUCCGAGCGUUAUCCGAAUUCACUGGGCGUAAAGCGCGUGCAGGCGGCACGGUAAGUUGGAUGUAAAAUCUCCCGGCUCAACUGGGAGAGGACGUUCAAUACUGUCGAGCUCGAGGGCGAUAGAGGGAGGUGGAAUUCCCGGUGUAGUGGUGAAAUGCGUAGAUAUCGGGAGGAACACCAGUGGCGAAAGCGGCCUCCUGGAUCGUACCUGACGCUCAGACGCGAAAGCUAGGGGAGCAAACGGGAUUAGAAACCCCGGUAGUCCUAGCUGUAAACGAUGUAGACUUGGUGUUGGUGGUGUAAAAACCAUCGGUGCCGAAGCAAACGCGAUAAGUCUACCGCCUGGGGACUACGGCCGCAAGGUUAAAACUCAAAGGAAUUGACGGGGGCCCGCACAAGCAGCGGAGCGUGUGGUUUAAUUCGAUUUACGCGAAAAACCUUACCCGGGUUUGACAUGUAGGUGGUAGGGAAACGAAAGUGGACCGACCCUUCGGGGAGCCUACACAGGUGUUGCAUGGCUGUCGUCAGCUCGUGUUGUGAGAUGUCCGGUUAAGUCCGGUAACGAGCGCAACCCGCGCCGUAUGUUACAAGUGUCAUACGGGACUGCUGGUAUAAAGCCGGAGGAAGGUGCGGACGACGUCAAGUCAGCAUGGCCUUUAUAUCCGGGGCUACACACACGCUACAAUGGCCAGUACGAUGGGUAGCAAAGCCGCAAGGUGGAGCCAAUCCCCAAAGCUGGUCUCAGUUCAGAUUGCAGGCUGCAACUCGCCUGCAUGAAGUCGGAGUUGCUAGUAACCGCGCGUCAGCAUUAGUGCGGUGAAUACGCUCCCGGGCCUUGUACACACCGCCCGUCACGUCAUGGGAGCUGGCAACACCUGAAGCCGGUAUCCUAACCGCAAGGAGGGAGCCGUCGAAGGUGGGGCUGGUGACUGGGACGAAGCCGUAACAAGGUA